GCGGUAGAAAGUCCUCGAAACUGGAUAAAUGACAAAUUGGGACUUUGAGAGCGGCGGAGCCUAGGAAUCUGCAACUGUGGUAGUGGGGGAUAACGUUCGGAAACGGACGGAAUACGUACGUCCUACGGGAGAAAGCAGGGGUGACUUGCGCUAUCAGAUGAACUUAAAUUAGCUAGUUGGUGAGGUAAUGCGGGAAUUCAGGGCUCACCACCGAAUAACUGGCUGUCCCUGAGAGGAUGAUCAGUCACACUGGAACUGAGACCCACGGUCGCAGACUCCUAGGCAGCAGUGGGGAAUAUUGGACCAGUUUAAAGCCUACGCAAUGGGCGAAAGCCUGAUCCAGCCAUGCCAAGGUCUUCGGCCAGUAGCGUAUUGUAAGUUGGGAGGAAGGGUUGUAGAUUAAUACUCUGCAAUUUUGACAGAAUAAGCACCGGCUAACUCUGGCGUGUGUGAAGUGCCAGGCCCGUAGGUAAUACAGAGGGUGCAAGCGAACGUAUCGGAAUUACUGGGCGUAAAGCGAACUGGCGCGUAAAGUUGGAUGUGAAAUCCCCGGGCUCAACCUGGGAACUGCAUUCAAAACUGACUGACUAGAGUAUGGUAAAGGGUGGUGAAAUUUCCUGUGUAGCGGUGAAGGUCGACUUGACGAAUGCGUAGAUAUAGGAAGGAACCGAAGGCCCGUUAUUGCAGACCACCUGGACUGCGACCAGUGGGAGCAAACAGGAUUAGAUACCCUGGUAGUCCCGUAGAACUAAACGAUGUCAACUAGCCGUUGGAAGCCUUGAGCUUUUAGUGAACUGACUAGCGCAGCUAACGCAUUAAGUUGACCGCCUGGGGAGUCAAUUAAAACUCAAUGAAUUGCCCGCACCCAGUAACCCCGUAAGCGGUGGAGCAUGUGGUUUAAAUCGAAGCAAAGAACCUUACCAGGCCUCCAGUAGAUGAACUUUCUAGAGAGUGCCUCCCGUUGGACCAGUUCGGGAACAACAGGAACUGCAUGGCUGUCGUCAUUGGGUUAAGUCCCGUAACGAGCGCAACCGGUUGAGACGCGCCAGUCUUGUCCUUAGUUACCAGCACGUUAUGGUGGGCACUCUACGGAGACUGCCGGUGACAAACCGGAGGAAGGUGGGCCAAUGCCCAAGUCAUCAUGGCCCUUACGGCCUGGCCCACACACGUGCUACAAUGGUCGGUACAGAGGGUUGCCAAGCCGCGAGGUGGAGCUAAUCCCAUAAAACCGAUCGUAGUCCGGAUCGCAGUCUGCAACUCGACUGCGUGAAGUCGGAAUCCUAGUAAUCGCCCGUAGAAUAUGUCGCGGUGAAUACGUUCCCGGGCCUUGUACACACCCCGAUAACUUAGAGGGGAGUGGGUUGCACCGUUUAUAGCUAGUCUAACCUUCUGGGAGGACGGUACCACGGU
RNAcentral lists this ribosomal RNA (1410 nucleotides) under Pseudomonas azotoformans. Its description in RNAcentral is "bacterial SSU rRNA". It matches the Rfam family "Bacterial small subunit ribosomal RNA". The record is from RNAcentral. Lineage: Bacteria; Pseudomonadati; Pseudomonadota; Gammaproteobacteria; Pseudomonadales; Pseudomonadaceae.